ACAUAGUUGCUCAUGGGAUAUUUGACUUUGGUAGACAAUUCAGGUUCAUAUGUGGGUUUAGGAAUACCUCUAUUAUGACGGUGUGGUAACCGUUUCAUGAAUGGAUCGGGUUCCUAAUUAAGAACACCCUCGACAGACGACGAUUGGUUUGGUAUUUCAGUGAAGACAUCUUCGAACCCAAAUUGUUGACCACUCAUAUCCAACUCACCCGCUUCUUGGUUCACUAGUUCAGAUUGUCCAGAUUCCUCCUCCUCAGAGAUAUGAUAAUCAUAAUCGAGAGUCUAAAUUUCCUUAUGGUACUC
RNAcentral lists this long non-coding RNA (302 nucleotides) under Vitis vinifera (wine grape). RNAcentral's name for it is "long non-coding RNA (VVIN_LNC007072)". Lineage: Eukaryota; Viridiplantae; Streptophyta; Magnoliopsida; Vitales; Vitaceae. The record is from RNAcentral.